Acomys russatus (golden spiny mouse) is the source of this 127-nucleotide small nucleolar RNA. RefSeq annotates it as small nucleolar RNA SNORA17. The transcript has a single exon. The record is from RefSeq and is a predicted model, not a curated record. Lineage: Eukaryota; Metazoa; Chordata; Mammalia; Rodentia; Muridae.
CCUAACCCUAGAGACAUUGCUGCCUGGCUACUGUGUCACCUGUGCUAGUGGUUGGCAGAGAGGAGAGAGUCUGUCUGUGCUCAAUGUUCUGAUAUAUGAACAUCUGAAUGACUAUUACCCUAAAAUU